UACGAAGGGGGCUAGCGUUGUUCGGAAUUACUGGGCGUAAAGCGCGCGCAGGCGGCUAUCCAAGUCAGUGGUGAAAGCCCGGAGCUCAACUCCGGAACUGCCAUUGAAACUGUUUAGCUUGAGGAUGAGAGAGGUGAGUGGAAUUCCCAGUGUAGAGGUGAAAUUCGUAGAUAUUGGGAAGAACACCGGUGGCGAAGGCGGGUCUCUGGGCCGAUACUGACGGCUGAGGAGCGAAAGCGUGGGGGAGCGAACAGG
RNAcentral lists this ribosomal RNA (255 nucleotides) under uncultured bacterium. Its description in RNAcentral is "partial 16S ribosomal RNA". It matches the Rfam family "Bacterial small subunit ribosomal RNA", at positions 524 to 776 of the family's 1533-position model. The record is from RNAcentral.